RNAcentral lists this long non-coding RNA (5434 nucleotides) under Homo sapiens (human). Its description in RNAcentral is "non-protein coding lnc-RPS16-4:1". Lineage: Eukaryota; Metazoa; Chordata; Mammalia; Primates; Hominidae. The record is from RNAcentral.
AUCUUGAGAGAGGCAGGGCUGGCCUGGGCGGAGUGCGGGGCCGACAUCUGCGGAGGGUUAGGAGGGGAAAGGUUUUUUCUACCCGCCGGCUCGGCGACCAGGCUGAAACUCAUGUUUGAAUUUAGUGAGCCGUUUGUUCGUUAGUCCGGAACACUAGCGCGGUAGGCCAAGCUGCGAGGAGGCGGCGAAAUCAGCGAAUAGCAAAUUAUAAAAGAAACAAGGCUUUAUCUCCUAGGCCCUCUAAAGCAUCCCCAGGAGAUCCGUAUCCCCGUUUUGGAGAGAACGCUGAAGCUCAGAAAAACUCAGUGGAAAGCGGCAGACCCAAGCCUCCUCGCCAAGUCUGAGUGACCGUGAAGCCCUGGUUUUUCCUUCUUUUUCUUUCUUUUUGUACUUUUUUUUUUUUUUUGGUAGAGUCGGGCUGUUGCCCGGCCUGGUCUCAAACUCCUCUAACUCAAACUAAAAAGCCAUCCUCCGGCCUCGUCCUGCCAAAGUGCUGAGAUCACAGGCAUAACCUGCCGCGCCCGGCCCAAGUCCCUAUUUUUCUUUCCAGGCUUCCUAAGUUCAUUUAAAGGCGAAUUUAUCUAUUAGUAAUGACGGCUGACGAGUGAUGGCAGAGUGGACAGGUGUAAUGGAGAGAUGAAAAAUGAACCUUCGCCUGUAAUCCCAGCGCUUUGGGAGGCUGAGGCGGGAGGAUCACCUGAGGCCAGGUAUUUGAGACUAGCAUGGGCAACAAAUUGAGACCCCAUGUAUCCAAUUUUUGUGUUUUUUUUAAUGUGGUGUGGUGGCGUGUGCCUGUGGUCCCUGCUACUCCAAAGGCUAAGGUGGGAGGAUCACUUGAACCCAUGUUGAGGCUUCAGUGAGCUAUGAUUGCACCACUGCACUCCAGACUGGGUAAUAGAGACCCUGUCUCUAAAAAAAAAAAAAAAAAAAAAUUAAAACUUAAAUUUUUAAAAAUUGAAAAAUUAACCUGAUAGGGGAAAUUUUAAAAAUCAGAAGUCUAUGUCAGUCGCGGUGGCUCAUGCCUGUAAUCCCAACACAUUGGGAGGCCGGGGCGGGCAGAUUGCCUGAGGUCAGGAGUUCGAAACCAGUCUGGCCAACAUGGUGAAACCCCGUCUCUACUAAAAAUACAAAAAAAUUAGCCGGGCGUGGUGGCAUGUGCCUGUGAUUCUAGCUACUCGGGAGGCUGAGGCAGGAGAAUGGCGUGAACCCAGGAGGCGGAGCUUGCAGUGAGCCGAGAUCGCGCCACUGCACUCCAGCCUGGGCGAGAGUGAGACUCAGUCUCAAAAAAAAAAAAAAAAAAAAGAAGCCUCAGGACACAUUGGUAAAAUUUCUCACAUAAGUAUGACACACCUGGGCCGGGCGCGGUGGCUCACGUCUGUAAUCCCAGCACUUUGGGAGGCCGAGGCGGGUGGAUCACGAGGUCAGGAGACCGAGACCAUCCUGGCUAACACGGUGAAACCCCAUCUCUACUAAAAAUACAAAAAAAAAUUAGCUGGGCGUGGUGGCGGGCGCCUGUAGUCCCAGCUACACGUAAGGCUGAGGCAGGAGAAUGGCGUGAACCCGGGAGGCCGAGCUUGCAGUGAGCCGAGAUCGUGCUACUGCACUCCAGCCUGGGCAACAGAGCUAGACUCCAUCUCAAAAAAAGAAAGGAUUCUCCACCGGGCGCGGUGGCUCACGCCUGUAAUCCCAGCACUUUGGGAGGCCAAGGCAGGCGGAUCACCUGAGGUCAGGAGUUCAAGACCAGCCUGGCCAACAUGGUAAAACCCUGUCUCUACUAAAAAAUACAAAAAUUAGCCAGGUGGCGUAGUGGCGCACACCCGUAAUCCCAGCUACUCGGGAGGCUGUGGCAGGAGAAUCUCUUGAACUUGAGAGGUGGAGGUUGCUGUGACAAAAGAGCAAGACUCCGUCUCAAAAAAAAAAACAACAAGAAAAUAGGAUUCUACAUAUUAAAUCGCUACAGACACUGCUGCAGAAAGCCAUUCCCUGCAGAAAAAAGAGGGCACAGUCAUUUCCCCAGCCAUGGAAGUUUCUUCCUUGGUGGAUCCGUGGUUCUGAACUCAACUCUGGUAGCACAUCAGAAUACUUGAGAAUAUUUUAGAAAGAAAGAGUUGCAUAAUAGCCCUAAACUGGAAACACAAAAAUUAGGGCCGGGCGCAGUGACUCACGCCUGUAAUCCCAGCACUUUGGAAGGCCAAGGCAGGCGGAUCACGAAGUCAGGAGUUCAAGACCAGCCUGGCCAAUAUGGUGAAACCCCAUCUCUACUAAAAAUACAAAAAAAAAAAAAAAAAAAAUAGCCAGGUGUGGUGGCGCACGCCUGUAAUCCCAGCUACUUGGGAGGCUGAGGCAGGAGAAUCACUUGAACCAGGGAGGUGAAGGUUGCAGUGAGCAGAGAUCGCACCACUGCACUCCAGCCUGGGCAACAGAGUGAGACUCGUCUCAAAAGAAAAACAAAUUUUGGUACAUCCAUCCAUGCAACAGAAUAGUAACAACUACCAAUACACCCAUGACUGAAUCUCCAAAACAUUAUGCUGAGUGAAAGAAGCCAGACAUCAGGAGAUGUCCAGCAUGAUUCCAUUCAUAUGAAACUCCAGAGCAAGCAAAACCAACCUAUACAGACAAUGCAGAUUAGUGGAUGUCUGGGGCUGGAGAGGGAGGUGGAAAUUGACUGGGAAGAGAGAGAAGGAAUGCUUUGGGGUGAUGGAAAUGUGGCCAUCCAGUCCACCAGCCGGUGCACUCCAGCCUGGGUGACAAAGGGAGACUCUGUCUCAAAAAAAAAAAAAAAAUGUCAGGUGUGGUGGCUCAUGCCUAUAAUCCCAGCACUUUGGGAGGCCAAGGGGGGAGUAUCGCUUGAGCCAGGAGUUCAAGAUUAGCCUGGGCAAUAAAGGGUAACCCCAUCUCUACAAAAAAUACAAAAAUUAGCUGAGUGUGGUGGCAUGCGCCUAUAGCGCUAGCUACUUGGGGGACUGAGGUGGGAGAGUCACUUGAGCCUGAAAGAUCGAGCCUGCAAUGAGUUUUGAUCAUGCCACUGCACUCCAGCCUGGGUGACAGAGUGAGACCCUGUCUCAAAAAAAUAUAUGGGCAGAUGCCAAGUUACAGCCUGUGCAGCAUAGUGAAACCCUGUCUCUAAAUAAUAAUAAAAAUAAUAUAGAUGCUCAGGCUUCACCAGAGACCAAUUAUCAAAUUAUCUGGGCUGGGGUCUGGCCAUCAGUAUUACUUGAAAGUUCUCCAAGUGGUGGGCUGGGCACGGUGGCUCACGCCUGUAAUCCCAGCAGUUUGGGAGGCUGAGGUGGGCAGAUCACAAGGUCAGGCGUUCGAGACCAGCGUGACCAACAUUGUGAAACCCCAUCUCUACUAAAAAUACAAAAAUUAGUCAGGUGUAGUGGCGCGUGCCUGUAAUCCCAGUUACUCAGGAGGCUGAGGCAGGAGAAUUACUUGAACCCAGGAGGUGGAGGUUGCAGCGAGCUGAGACCAUGCCACUGCACUCUAGCCUGGGCAACAGAGUGAGACUCUGCCUCAAAAACAGAAAAGAAAAGAAAAGAAAGUUCUUCAAGUGGUAAUUUUUUGUAGCCAGGGAUGUAGGGAUGUGAACCACAGGACCCUCCCUGUUCUCAAGGUAUAGGGAUGAGGUUAGAGAAUACCUGUGCACUUCUCUGUCCCUUCCUGGAAGAAGAGAGAAGAGUAUCUAAAGGAGGGUGAGAAUGGGGGCAGGUGGGGCAAUUUAUCCAACUCCCUGCCCAAGAGGUCAGAGACUUCAGAUCGCACCUUACUUUCCUCCUUCUUAACUCUUCCCCUUGGCUACUAGGGCUCCAGGUGGGGUCCUCUGGCCUAGAGGGAAGAAAAGGCUUAGGGUUUGGCAGUUGGAGCUGAAGACUAUUCCCUCCCUCUCUCUACCCAGCCUCUCUGGGUGUACCUGGGAGCCCAUGUCCUCCAAAGCUCAGGCUGUGGUAGGGUGCCAAGCACAAGCUCCCUGUAGUAACUCCAAGAGGGGGACAGGUCUCUGGGGAUGUCCUUCACAGGACAGGCAAGGGCCCUGGCUGGCCACCCACAGCCGGGACCCCAGGAGAUCCAGCAGGUACUGUAGCUGGAACACAGCAGUUCCCAUAGAUGGUCCCUCCUCAAACCCAAUCACAGACAGCUCCAACCUGGAGCAGCCUAGAGUCUCAGCAGGACACACAGUAGGGACAAAGUGACCUGGUAUCUAUGGGUAAGGGCAUGAGUCCAAGUCCCCACUCCCAAGAUUUCUUAUCUGUGUCCUGGAACAAACCCCUUCAGUUCUCUGGGCCUCAGUUUCCUCAUCUGUAAAUAGGGCUCUGGAUAAUCCCAACCGUAAGGCCUGACACUAUCCCAUGCUGUACUUAUGUGCAAGCUAGAAAAAGACACUCAGCUGGGCACAGUGGCUCAUGCCUGUAAUCCCAGCUCUUUGAGAGGCCAAGGCAGGAAGAUCACUUGAGCCCAGGUGUCCAAAACCAGCCUGGGCAACACAGCGACACCCCAUAUCUACAAAAAAAAAAAAAAAAAAAAAAAGGUCGGGCACGGUGGCUCACGCCUGUAAUCCCAGCACUUUGGGAGGUUGAGGCAGGUGGAUCACGAGGUCAAGAGAUCGAGAACAUCCUGGCCAACAUGGUGAAACCCUGUCUCUACUAAAAAUACAAAAAUUAGCUGGGCAUGGUGGCACAUGCCUGUAGUCCCAGCUACUCGGGAGGCUGAGGCAGAAGAAUUGCUUCAACCCAGGACGCAGAGGUUGCAGUGAGCAGAGAUCACGCCACUGCACUCCAGCUGGCAACAGAGCAACACUGUGUCUCAAAAAAAAAAAAAAAAAAUUAGCCAUUAGCUAUUUGUGGUGUCACGUGUAUGUGGUCCCAGCUACUCUGGAGGCUGAGGUGGGAGGAUUGCUUGAGCCUAAAAGGUCAAGACUGCAGUGAGCUGUGAUUGUGCCACUGCACUCCAGCGUAGGGGACAGAGCAAGACCCUGUCUCAAAAAAAAGAAAAUAAAAAGACCUUCCUUAAGUUCCUUCUACCUUCUAAGUCUUGAUUUUAUUAGAACAAGAUACUUUACUGCCAUCUGCCGCAAGUUGGCAAAUAUGCAAAUCUACAAUAUCCAGCCUGUGAAUAUAGUACUGUCUUUGUAGAUGUGGGAUCCUUGUGCAGUGUACAACAUUCACAUCCAUACAUGGUGGUCCUAUCUAUCUUAUAGGAUUGGUGUACAGAGUAAAUAAGCUAACAUACUUAAAGCAUUUAAACCAAUACCUGGCACAGAGUAAACACUAUUUACAUGCAGCUGUAGUCAUCAUCAUCAUUUGUUAUUAUAUACCUCCCUAUUCUAGGUGUUGGAGACAGCAGUGAGCAAAAUAUAUCUGUCAAGGCUAGGGGCUGGGUCAGGAGAUAGUCCCACUACUUCCUCCCCGCAACAUAUUCAUAUGGUCACACAGCAGCC